UGGGGAAUAUUGCACAAUGGGCGAAAGCCUGAUGCAGCAACGCCGCGUGAGUGAUGAAGGUCUUCGGAUUGUAAAGCUCUGUCUUUUGGGACGAUAAUGACGGUACCAAAGGAGGAAGCCACGGCUAACUACGUGCCAGCAGCCGCGGUAAUACGUAGGUGGCGAGCGUUGUCCGGAUUUACUGGGCGUAAAGGGUGCGUAGGCGGAUGUUUAAGUGAGAUGUGAAAUACCCGGGCUUAACUUGGGUGCUGCAUUUCAAACUGGAUAUCUAGAGUGCAGGAGAGGAGAAUGGAAUUCCUAGUGUAGCGGUGAAAUGCGUAGAGGUUAGGAAGAACACCAGUGGCGAAGGCGAUUCUCUGGACUGUAACUGACGCUGAGGCACGAAAGCGUGGGUAGCAAACAGGAUUAGAUACCCUGGUAGUCCACGCCGUAAACGAUGAGUACUAGGUGUAGGAGGUAUCGACCCCUUCUGUGCCGCAGUAAACACAUUAAGUACUCCGCCUGGGAAGUACGAUCGCAAGAUU
RNAcentral lists this ribosomal RNA (524 nucleotides) under uncultured bacterium. RNAcentral's name for it is "partial 16S ribosomal RNA". It matches the Rfam family "Bacterial small subunit ribosomal RNA", at positions 355 to 895 of the family's 1533-position model. The record is from RNAcentral.